GUGGUGGCUCAGUGGUAAAGCACUUGCCCAGCAUGCGUGAGGCACUGGGUUUGAUCCUCAGCACCACA
This 68-nucleotide transfer RNA is filed under the name Marmota monax (woodchuck). RNAcentral describes it as "tRNA.Ala". Lineage: Eukaryota; Metazoa; Chordata; Mammalia; Rodentia; Sciuridae. The record is from RNAcentral.